CCUUCGAUAGCUCAGUUGGUAGAGCGGUGGACUGUAGAUCAAGCAGCUCAAAAACUGAUAUCCAUAGGUCGCUGGUUCAAAUCCGGCUCGAAGGA
RNAcentral lists this transfer RNA (95 nucleotides) under Musca domestica (house fly). It matches the Rfam family "tRNA". Rfam says of the family: Transfer RNA (tRNA) molecules are approximately 80 nucleotides in length. Their secondary structure includes four short double-helical elements and three loops (D, anti-codon, and T loops). The record is from Rfam by way of RNAcentral. Lineage: Eukaryota; Metazoa; Arthropoda; Insecta; Diptera; Muscidae.